This 288-nucleotide long non-coding RNA is filed under the name Salvia miltiorrhiza (redroot sage). RNAcentral's name for it is "long non-coding RNA (SMIL_LNC011142)". The record is from RNAcentral. Lineage: Eukaryota; Viridiplantae; Streptophyta; Magnoliopsida; Lamiales; Lamiaceae.
UUGGUUCAUAAUUAAUUAUGCUGGGUAUAUUAAUCUAUUUUUGCCACUUUAAAUAAUAUUUGGAAUUUUCGAGGAAGAAAAUACCGUUAGAGUGGUGUUGUUUGGAACUUAUAGAAUUAUCGAAAUAAAUUGGUGUUUAAAACUAGUGGUAUUGUCUGGAGCUUAUAGAAUCAUCGAAAUAAAUUGGUGUUUAAAAAUAUGACGAGUUGCUAUCUAGACUUAACCGAGAUUAUUAAAGUAAAAUUAUGGUUUUGGUUAUCGAGCUGCUUCGCGCUCGGUCGUUCUUUG